CGAGGAAAGGGCGUAGCUCCGUAGUUAGCGCCCUACCACCGAGACCAGAGAUAGAAGUACCCUAAGUCGGCUUAGCUUAGGGGUAUAGAAAUGAAAUGAUCAAUGUUGUAAUAAUUAUGUUAAGAACUUGAUGGUAUUUGGAAGCUAAAAAGAGAAGUAAAAGUGUAAUAUGUGAUGAAAAAUGUAAUAUGUGAAUUGAAUGCAUGUAAUAACUUAGUUGUUUAUGUUUUCGAUCCUUUCCUUAUGCAAUCUAUGUUUGUAUGCUAUUCCUGGUUGGAACCUCACGCAUUGUAUGGAUUGUGACGCCUUGGACGUACAGAGGAGACUCUGUCCGCGGUACAGGAAAAACCCUAUCCGAUAGGCGGUCUGUUGGCGUGCCCGAAACCGACCAAAUAGGCAGGCUCGGGGCGUGACAGAUAAGAUGGUAUC
This 429-nucleotide long non-coding RNA is filed under the name Ananas comosus (pineapple). RNAcentral describes it as "long non-coding RNA (ACOM_LNC026785)". Lineage: Eukaryota; Viridiplantae; Streptophyta; Magnoliopsida; Poales; Bromeliaceae. The record is from RNAcentral.